UACUAGAGUAGCACUCGCAUAUCAAUAAGCGGAGGAAAAGAAACUAACAAGGAUUCCCCUAGUAACGGCGAGUGAAGCGGGAGGAGCUCAAAUUUGAAAUCUUAAAGGGUUUCCCUUUACGAAUUGUAGUUUAAAGAAGUGUUUUCUGUUGAGGUUUUGGUAAAAGUUCUUUGGAAUAGGACAUCAUAGAGGGUGAGAAUCCCGUAUUUGACCUUUACUUUCAACUUUGUGAUACACUUUCAAAGAGUCGGAUUGUUUGGGAAUGCAGUCCAAAAUGGGUGGUAAAUUUCAUCUAAAGCUAAAUAUUGGCGAGAGACCGAUAGCGAACAAGUACCGUGAGGGAAAGAUGAAAAGAACUUUGAAAAGAGAGUUAAACAGUACGUGAAAUUGUCAAAAGGGAAGCGUUUGACACCAGUGUUGUUUUUCUGAAAAUCAAUUAAAGAACUGUUUAUGCUAAGCUGUUUAGACUUUAUCAGCUAUCUGUUUAGUUUUAGGCUUUUCUUUAAUGCACUUUUCAGUUAACAAGUCAACAUCAAUUUCUUUUGCUGUAAAAAAGCUUGAGGAAGGUGGCUUGAGAUUCGUCUUAAGUGUUUAUAGCCUCUUGCCUAUGCAGUCGGAGAGAUUGAGGUCUGCAGCGUAGAUCCUUCGGGGCUAAAUGCAUUUGUGCUAAGUUAUAGCAUUUUAUAGACAACUUGUUGACUAUGAUUUGUCUUGUAGCUUACUCGCUUAUGUUAUUUUACCUACGCUUAGGAUGUUGAUCUACAGAGCGAGAGU
This 774-nucleotide ribosomal RNA is filed under the name uncultured Neocallimastigales. RNAcentral's name for it is "partial large subunit ribosomal RNA". It matches the Rfam family "Eukaryotic large subunit ribosomal RNA", at positions 20 to 635 of the family's 3401-position model. Lineage: Eukaryota; Fungi; Neocallimastigomycota; Neocallimastigomycetes; Neocallimastigales. The record is from RNAcentral.